GCCCCGGUAAACGGCGGCCGUAACUAUAACGGUCCUAAGGUAGCGAAAUUCCUUGUCGGGUAAGUUCCGACCUGCACGAAUGGCGUAAUGAUGGCCAGGCUGUCUCCACCCGAGACUCAGUGAAAUUGAACUCGCUGUGAAGAUGCAGUGUACCCGCGGCAAGACGGAAAGACCCCGUGAACCUUUACUAUAGCUUGACACUGAACAUUGAGCCUUGAUGUGUAGGAUAGGUGGGAGGCUUUGAAGUGUGGACGCCAGUCUGCAUGGAGCCGACCUUGAAAUACCACCCUUUAAUGUUUGAUGUUCUAACGUGGACCCGUAAUCCGGGUUGCGGACAGUGUCUGGUGGGUAGUUUGACUGGGGCGGUCUCCUCCUAAAGAGUAACGGAGGAGCACGAAGGUUGGCUAAUCCUGGUCGGACAUCAGGAGGUUAGUGCAAUGGCAUAAGCCAGCUUGACUGCGAGCGUGACGGCGCGAGCAGGUGCGAAAGCAGGUCAUAGUGAUCCGGUGGUUCUGAAUGGAAGGGCCAUCGCUCAACGGAUAAAAGGUACUCCGGGGAUAACAGGCUGAUACCGCCCAAGAGUUCAUAUCGACGGCGGUGUUUGGCACCUCGAUGUCGGCUCAUCACAUCCUGGGGCUGAAGUAGGUCCCAAGGGUAUGGCUGUUCGCCAUUUAAAGUGGUACGCGAGCUGGGUUUAGAACGUCGUGAGACAGUUCGGUCCCUAUCUGCCGUGGGCGCUGGAGAACUGAGGGGGGCUGCUCCUAGUACGAGAGGACCGGAGUGGACGCAUCACUGGUGUUCGGGUUGUCAUGCCAAUGGCACUGCCCGGUAGCUAAAUGCGGAAGAGAUAAGUGCUGAAAGCAUCUAAGCACGAAACUUGCCCCGAGAUGAGUUCUCCCUGAGACUUAG
Molecule: ribosomal RNA, 909 nt
Filed under: Salmonella enterica
Lineage: Bacteria; Pseudomonadati; Pseudomonadota; Gammaproteobacteria; Enterobacterales; Enterobacteriaceae
Also listed under: 1 other name
Description: partial 23S ribosomal RNA
Rfam family: Bacterial large subunit ribosomal RNA
Source: RNAcentral